RNAcentral lists this ribosomal RNA (253 nucleotides) under uncultured bacterium. RNAcentral describes it as "partial 16S ribosomal RNA". It matches the Rfam family "Bacterial small subunit ribosomal RNA", at positions 524 to 776 of the family's 1533-position model. The record is from RNAcentral.
UACGAAGGGGGCUAGCGUUGUUCGGAUUUACUGGGCGUAAAGCGCACGUAGGCGGAUCGUUAAGUCGGGGGUGAAAUCCUGGAGCUCAACUCCAGAACUGCCUUCGAUACUGGCGAGUCUUGAGUCCGGAAGAGGUGAGUGGAACUCCUAGUGUAGAGGUGGAAUCCGUAGAUAUUAGGAAGAACACCAGUGGCGAAGGCGGCUCACUGGUCCGGUACUGACGCUGAGGUGCGAAAGCGUGGGAGCAACAGGG